This 326-nucleotide ribosomal RNA is filed under the name uncultured eukaryote. Its description in RNAcentral is "partial 18S ribosomal RNA". It matches the Rfam family "Eukaryotic small subunit ribosomal RNA", at positions 1470 to 1796 of the family's 1831-position model. The record is from RNAcentral.
CCCUUAGAUGUUCUGGGCUGCACGCGCGCUACACUGAUGCAUGCAACGAGUUUUCGACCUUGCCUGAAAAGGUUGGGUAAUCUGUUUAACAUGUGUCGUGAUGGGGAUAGACCAUUGCAAUUAUUGAUCUUCAACGAGGAAUUCCUAGUAAGCGCGAGUCAUCAGCUCGUGCUGAUUAUGUCCCUGCCCUUUGUACACACCGCCCGUCGCUCCUACCGAUUGAGUGAUCCGGUGAGCGAUUCGGACCAGCGUGCUGCUCAGAUCCUGCGCAGUGUGCUGGGAAGUCUAGUGAACCUUAUCACUUAGAGGAAGGAGAAGUCGUAACA